This 397-nucleotide ribosomal RNA is filed under the name Pyrgoma cancellatum. RNAcentral describes it as "partial 12S ribosomal RNA". Lineage: Eukaryota; Metazoa; Arthropoda; Thecostraca; Balanomorpha; Pyrgomatidae. The record is from RNAcentral.
CGCCAUCAGUCGCACUAGUACACUGACGACAUGGUUCUACAGAACCAGGAUUAGAUACCCUGUUACUUAUAAUCAAAAUAUUCUGGAAUAGUAAUAAUAAUGAAAUUUAACGGAUUUGGCGGCAAGAUAGCCAUUCAGAGGAACCUGCCCUAUAAACGAUGAACCACGAAUUACUCUACUUUUUUGUUUUCAGUUUGUAUACCGCUGUUGUCAGUCAGUUCUUUAGAAAACUUUCUUUCAUGUAAAGUUCACGGACUUCAAGUAAAGGUGCAGCUUAUGAAAAAGUUAGAGGUGGGUUACAUUUACAAAGAUUAAUACGGAUGAAGUAAUUGAAAUAACUUUUGAAGGCGGAUUUGAUUGUAAAGUUUAAGUAAACUUGAUUAGAGCUCUAUCUUGU